ACGCAGAUAAAACUUCGUCUGAUUACGAUCUCGCUGCCUAAGCGAGCGCUGUAAUCCGUUGCCCUGAGCUUGCUCUCGCCUCAGGCCCCAACGUCGAUAGAGGGCUUACCAACCGAUAACGUUGUGAUUAUCGGCAGGGACAUCUAACACAACUGCGUUCGUCGACUACUUGUGUGCGUGAGAGUCGGGACAGAGAAAGCGAUUAGCACACUACGCCCGUAGAAGCCCUGUAUCAGUGUCGAAGGACCCGGGUUCGAUUCCCGGCACCUCCACCA
This 275-nucleotide transfer-messenger RNA is filed under the name Actinomycetota bacterium. Its description in RNAcentral is "Actinobacteria bacterium partial transfer-messenger RNA". It matches the Rfam family "transfer-messenger RNA", at positions 91 to 374 of the family's 374-position model. Rfam says of the family: Bacterial tmRNA, also known as 10Sa RNA or SsrA, is named for its dual tRNA and mRNA-like properties. Its role is to liberate the mRNA from a stalled ribosome. The record is from RNAcentral. Lineage: Bacteria; Bacillati; Actinomycetota.